Molecule: long non-coding RNA, 805 nt
Organism: Astyanax mexicanus (Mexican tetra)
Lineage: Eukaryota; Metazoa; Chordata; Actinopteri; Characiformes; Acestrorhamphidae
Exons: 2
Source: RefSeq, a predicted model, not a curated record
GGGGGGGUCGGGGGAUUCGGGUGUCUGAUGGCUCUUGGACUGGGGACGGUGGCUGCCGCUUGGUGAUUUCUGUGUGCGGGCCCUGGUUGUUGGUGGGGGGGGCCUGGAUGUAUGCUCUUGUGGUCUUGGGGUGUGGGUCUGGGGGGCCCAUGGUGGUGGGUGCUGGCCCUGUCCGGUUGGCUGGGUUCCCCUGUGGCGGUCGGGGUGCGGAGUCCGGGGCCCUGGUGCCCGUGGGCGUCUGUCGCCUGUUAAUCCACUCUCAGUCUACUUUUAUAGACUUUUUUCCUCAGGUUUGCUGGAUUAGCUGUUUGCUGCUGCAGUUUGUUUGUGUAAGUUUCUAAUUUCAACUGAAACAAGGCUCUCGCGUCUCCUGUCCGGCCAGACUGAUGGAAGUUUCUGAAGUCAGCUCUUCUCCACCACCACCACAGAUCAGCUGCUCAUCAUCCAUCUUACUCUCCACUACAGAUUACAUCCAAGCCAUUAGUGGCGCUAUUACACUCCUGAGCACAUAAAACCUAUAUGGAUGUAUAAAAGACUUUUUAAAUUUUAAUUUAAAAGCCGUUUGACCAGUGGUAGGAUGGUCCCCCCUCAAAUGUGAGUCUUGGUCCUCCCAAGGUUUCUUCCUCCUCCUCCAGCUCUGAGGGUGUUUUUCCUUGCCUCCGCGCUCACUGGGGGUUCUGUAUUCUGUAUUUUCUAUGUGUAAUGCUUUGCCUGAUUCUUUGUCCUGUAAUCAUGUUUCUGUAAAGCUGCUUUGUGCCAACACCUGUUGUAAAAAGCGCUAUACAAAUAAAUUUGAUUUGAUUUG